GUGGCCUGAAUGCGGUUGGCAGCCAGUUUCAUUGACUGAUUUGAUCACUUCUACAUCUGUCAAAAAAGUUUAUCACAAGGCAACUUUAUGUGUCCACCCAGACAAAGUUCAACAAAAAGGGGCCACAGUUCGGCAGAAGUAUAUUGCUGAGAAGGUUUUUGAUCUUCUCAAGGAAGCAUGGAAUAAAUUCAACACAGAGGAACUAAGAUGAGUUCUAAGCAGAUAAUGAACUGUCCUUGCUUGGAAGUGAAGCAACGAUGUAUGUUGUUCUAGUAGUUGUGCGAAUCGGCUCGACUUUACUGUUUUGGUGGACUGACACGAUACUUAGUUGCUUCACCGGGAAUUAGUGCUACUCACGAAUGUGCAUGUUCACAAUCUCCGGCUAUGUAUUUAAAACCGAGAAGUUUUUUGUCCGUGUGAUUUUUAUUUAAUUUUUUGCUUUGCAGUUGUCACAUACAUCUGGGUAUCUUCAUCAGCAACUGUGGGUUUUUGUGCAUAAUUUGUUGAUUUAGUUUUAACACCAUGAUUGGUGUGUGUGGAAGUCACCAGUAAUCUCCAUGAAGUUGUUUGCCAAAAGUAGAGAUCUGGAUUUGUGGUGUUGGCCAGUAAAAAGUACUGGUAGAACUUUUUUUUUCUCCUUCUGUAGAUCGUGUCACUGUUGUUCAAAUUAAUUCCUUCUUAUUACGC
This 687-nucleotide unclassified non-coding RNA is filed under the name Hevea brasiliensis (rubber tree). Lineage: Eukaryota; Viridiplantae; Streptophyta; Magnoliopsida; Malpighiales; Euphorbiaceae. The record is from RNAcentral.